GUGCUGGGAGGGUAUUUGGAAUAGGGCAUGUGCUGGAAGGAUAUUUGAAACAGGGCAGGUGCUGAAAAAAUAUUUUAAAUAGGGAAUGUGCUGAAAGGAUGUUUGAAGUAGAGCAGGUACUGAAAAAUGUUUUGUUUGAAAUGGGAUAGGGCAUGUGCCUGAAGCACGUGACUUGUCUUGACAUGAUUUACUUCUGGUUUUCUCUCAUUCUCUUCUUUCUUCUUCUUCUUCAAGACCCAAACCCGUGGGUAUUGUGCAUCAGUACAUAAGUCAUAUUUUGGAAGCUCGGAUCAGAAAACUUCCUUGACGAAAGUUGCUCAUCUGCUCGAGUACUAUAGCCUGUAAAAUUUUCUGAAUUCUUUGAAUUUUUCUGAUGCCUCAAAGCUGGUCUGCAACUUCUGUGUUCAUCCAUGGCUGGUGUAUACGUCUCUGGCACAGGCAGGGGAGGGUGCCGAAAGCCUGCGUUGUAUCCAUUGUCGCUGGAAGCUUCGAGUGUACCAAUUUCGCAACUUGGCAAUUUGGAUUUCUAUCUCGAUUUCUCAGUAAAUAGUUCUGCUCCUUCACUGGAAUCUUGAGUCUUUCUUUUGGCUUUGUAGGAAUAGACAUAGACUGGUGUUUGGCCUAGGCUUGUUUUUCUUGUGAACACACGCUUGAUUAAAUCUGGACUUUUCUCCGAUCUUGUGGAAAUAGAAAUUGACAGAAUGCAUGCUCUGCAAUGCUUGAAUCUUUUUGUAUUUUGAGGGAGAAUUUGCUUGUCAUGGGAAUUGCUUGAGAAUUUUGCUUGCCAUGGAUAAAUUGCAUGCUGCUUUGAUAUUUGCUUAAGCCUUUUCUUUGGCGUGAGCUUGACUUGCAUGCUUGGCGUAUACUUUGCGUGUGCUACGUUCUUGACCACCUUCUUUGAUUGAACUGUAUGCAUCACGAGCAUAUGCUUGUAACUGCAUGAUUAAUACAUAGGGUUAGAGGCUGUUGAAAGCUGGAGGAGAGCACCAUUUGUUUCCUCUUUUGAGCUUAGAGUUUGGACAUGGCUAACUUUUUUUUCUUGGCUUUAUAGGGAUAGAUAUAAACAUGUAUAUGAUGGGUCUGCAAGAUUGUCAUGUAACUCAUAGGGAUUUUUUUGUUUUUGUGAAAAAGGUUACUAGGAGGUAAGUGGUGUUCAGUUUGUAACACUUGCUUUGUGAAAGGGUCUGCUGGAAUGAUUGAUUGAGCAUGAAAUGGGAACUUUGCUUGUCAUAAGCUCGAGUAAUAGAUUGCAUGAUGCUUCAAAUUUUUUUUUUUGUUUAUGCAUUUCGCUUGGCAUGAGAUGGCUUGCUUUGCUUGGCCUGUGAAGUUCAUAUAGCUUGCAUGCUAGCGUGGAGAUUUCUUGGCUUUAACACAGAGAACCUGCUUCAUACUUUGCCCUUUUACAGCAUAUUCCUCGUUGGUAAUUCUUGCAGGGACUCACAUAAUAAGUCCUAAUGACCUUUGUGAUGAGUGAUGGCCUAUUUCCCCUUGCAUGACGGGUUGAAGAAUGGACAACUACCUUCAUAGCGUAGAAACACUUACCAAGACUCGAUCAUAGGCACUGAGUAAGCUUAGGAAGCUACUCUCAUUUCCAGGUGUUGUAUAGAAGAAAGACAUGUUUCCGGCGGCCACCUUAUUUUUUAAUACCCUUGCAGCAUCACCAAGGGCUGGCCACAGUGGUUCGAUCGCGAGUUGACAGCCCCGACUACCAAAGAUGUUUUGUCAAGGAAACAUCGUUUUUGACCUUACAGCAGCGUGCUGAAAAGGCUUAAGCAUGUGUCUUAUUAGGAUUUUGCAUGGACUUCCGGCUGAAUACUUAAAAGAAGCACACAUUAUUAUUUUUUUUUUUUUAAGCACGAGCUGCUUGUAGCAUGAAGAUGUAUGCAUGAUCCCCUUAAGCAAGAGUUGUCGUUAAUGCGUUAAGCCUUCAGGAACAUGAAUUGGAGAGCCAGUGCCGUAAGCUAUGAGACCUUCUCCUUGACAAAUAAGCGAUUGAGAAUGGCGCUUGGUGCAUGGUGGAAACAUCGAAAGGAUCAUCUAAUAGUGCUUCUUCUAUUCUGUUUUAGUCAUGCACCGUGAUCUAAUUGAGGCUGCAUUUCUUUGUUGUAGGGGCUGGCUGGCUCAGUGUGUAGUAGCUUUUCCUUUUGAAACUGCAGGGUGUAUCUAUCUUUAGCAUAGUUGACUGCAUUUGGGCCCGAGUUGUACCCCCUUUUUUUUUUUGAGAGCCUAAAGCUCAUGUUGUCGGGAACUUGGAACACAACAUUGUUGCAUACUUUCUGUCAGGACUUUUGAUGUAGAAUGCUUGAGAUAUUGAGCUUCGGCCUGUUUUGUACGUUUUGCUUGGUUGGAAAUAAUGAAAUGCAUGAAUUGUUGCGGUUUGGAA
RNA transcript from Prunus persica (peach), 2383 nucleotides. It is a transcript of the gene named splicing factor 3A subunit 2-like, with no coding region annotated. The transcript has 3 exons. Lineage: Eukaryota; Viridiplantae; Streptophyta; Magnoliopsida; Rosales; Rosaceae. The record is from RefSeq and is a predicted model, not a curated record.